Pangasianodon hypophthalmus (striped catfish) is the source of this 563-nucleotide long non-coding RNA. RefSeq lists it as uncharacterized. The record is from RefSeq and is a predicted model, not a curated record. The transcript is spliced from 3 exons. NCBI's taxonomy places the organism in Eukaryota, Metazoa, Chordata, Actinopteri, Siluriformes, Pangasiidae.
CUGAAAACCCUCAACAUCUUUCUGCAAACAUUUUGCAGAAAGACAUUUUCUUUUAAAGCAUGAUAGUGGCAGCAGCGUGAUCUCGUGAUACCCUGAUCUAGUCUUUUCUAUCAAUAAACGGCACAUUAUGGAAAGCUGAACUGCUGGUGCAGUUUCAAGAGCUUCCUACACAUCAUACAAUGGCUAUGAAUGUCUCACUGCAGUCAUGUUUGUUGAUGAUUUUUCUAAUCUGUGCAGCACACAGUGAUGCACAGACUGCAUCAGAAGAUCGUAAUGACUAAAACCGCCACUAAGCUCGCUAAGAUACCAAGAUGGAGCAUUCAGCAACAUACAGUCAGGCCCAUAUGACUGUAUGGGCUCCAGACUUCAGGCAGUCAUUGACUGCAAAGGAUUUUCAUCCAAGUAUUAAAUUAUGGUUAUAUUUACAAUUAUGUCACUUUGUCCAAAUACCUUUGAGCCCCUGAAAAUGGAAGUACUUUGUUGAAAAUGGCUGUAAUUUCUAAAUGGUAAAUGUCAUAUUUUUGUGGAACCUCUUCAAAUAAAGCUGAAAGUCUACACUUUGA